AAAUUGAAGAGUUUGAUCAUGGCUCAGAUUGAACGCUGGCGGCAGGCCUAACACAUGCAAGUCGAACGGUAGCACAGAGAGCUUGCUCUCGGGUGACGAGUGGCGGACGGGUGAGUAAUGUCUGGGAAACUGCCUGAUGGAGGGGGAUAACUACUGGAAACGGUGGCUAAUACCGCAUAACGUCGCAAGACCAAAGAGGGGGACCUUCGG
RNAcentral lists this ribosomal RNA (210 nucleotides) under Salmonella enterica subsp. enterica serovar Infantis. RNAcentral describes it as "partial 16S ribosomal RNA". It matches the Rfam family "Bacterial small subunit ribosomal RNA", at positions 1 to 218 of the family's 1533-position model. Lineage: Bacteria; Pseudomonadati; Pseudomonadota; Gammaproteobacteria; Enterobacterales; Enterobacteriaceae. RNAcentral also lists the same sequence under 3 other names. The record is from RNAcentral.